CUUUCUCUUCUUCUUUCACUGUAACAGCCUCACCCUCCACUUGUUGUUUUACUGUAACAUCCUCCUCCUCCUCUUUCACAACAAUGUUCAGCCCCAGAGCUUCUUCCUCCGUCCAGCAGACUUCCUCUUCUUUAACAGGAGGGGAGUAGUUUAGGGAGCUCAUGUUCGGGGAUGUUAGCUAGCUAUCAUUAGCGACUAGGCUAGUGCUAACUUAACCAGCCAGCUACUAUAGCUGACUAAUACAAAAUAACGUAAUAUGAAAUUAAAUAGGUUAACAAGUAGAUACGACAGAUGUGUGCCUAAAACACAGCAGCUAAUAUACACCGAAAGCGUAUAAAUAGCUUGAAUCUUUCGGCUAUGUUGGCUAGCAAGCUACCGAGGUGGUUGACGAGCUGUUUCUGAAGAACCGUCCACUGGCAGCGUCGCCUGAAAGACGCACAUCGCGGUCUGCUGACUGGAGGGGAAACGCAGUUGAGUUCCUCUUGUCCAGAUACCUUGUAACUGGAGAUUCCUUCAAAACGAUUUCCUACAGGUCAUCUGGGGCUGCCUCCUGGAGGAAUUCAGGUGUGUGAAGGCUACCUGUGUCCUGCGUAACUUCAUGAGGAUGGACACGAGGACCAGGAGGGGAUCUGCAGCUCGCCGCCGUGUCCCAGAGGAGGAGUCUGCUGCUCUGCACGAUGUUUCACGGAUGGGGUCCAACAACGCAGCAAGAGAGGCAUUCUGUGUGCAGGAGAUCUUCACCUCCUACUUCUUCAAAGAGGGUGCUGUUCCCUGGCAACACCUUAGACUACACUAUGCACAACCAAAGGCUCUUUUAAGAGCCAUUCACAUUGCAAUAAGAGUAUUCUUCCAUUUACUUAGCUAUGUCAACUGCAGUUAUUAAAUUCACAGUUUCUCUCCCUAGGUAGGGUGCUGUUUAGGUAAGGCUGUGAUGUCUGUCAGUGCAAAAAACAAAACAGGCUAUUUUAAAAUCACCCAUAUUGAAAAAAUGUAGAACAAUUAGACAACCUAUAACCUACACACUCAUGUAUCAAUCUGAUUGAUGGAUUGUGUUGUGCAGUAAGCAGGUUCAGAUGUAUAACUGUGGCUCCUUCCACCUUCAAAGAAUAGGCAAGAGGGCCAACCAUGGAGAAUAGUAAGACACUUCAUUAUUUCUAUAACUACGCUAUAUUGUUUGUCCUUGUGCGUCCGUUCAUGUUUUUCAGUAUAAAAGUACUCUGCAGCCACUUAGUGUGGUGUGGACACCAGGUGAGGCCACACACAGAUUCCUGUCGAACACUGUAGCUUUAACUACCUUAUUUUCUCAAUAACAGUCUCUCUCCUUCACUUCAUCCCUCUCUCCCCUUCUCCCUAAAUCCUCUAGGUUAUAUCAGCUGUGUCUGUGAACCCCUCCUGCAUCUGAACUGGCUACAUAGAGGAUACAGCAUGAUCAGAUGUGAGAGGUCACUUGGUCAGGUCAACAGGAAGUAUUAUUAAAGAGAUGCUUUACAUUGAAAUACAGAUAGAGAUGCAGUAGUCCCAGAGUAAAUGAUCCAAGGUCAGUUUAUAUUAUACAGGAAGUAUUAUUAAAGAGAUGCUUUACAUUGAAAUACAGAUAUAGAUGCAGUAGUCCCAGAGUUAAUGGUCCAAGGUCAGUUUUGCAUUUCACCUCCUGAUUGAUGACUAACAAUGUUAGAAUAAAAAAUAAAAACACAAGGCUUAAACAUGCUCUCUCUCUCCAUCUGUUUCUCGUCUGCAGGUAUGUUUUGAUGUGAGAGGAUGCCAACCCCCAGUCCCAUCAUCGCCACCUCACCUGCUUUUAAGAUAAUAGUGUCUCUCAUCAGCCCAAAGGUUAUGUAAUUGUGAUGAACUGAGAGAAUAUUUAGGUAGCACUGUGAUUCAUUAAUCAUGUGCUGCCUUCCCUGCUCCUAUGUUCUUACCUCUUUCCCUUUCUGUAUUUUACACCUCUCCUUCCACCUCCUCUGUUCAUAUAAUUCAUAACAGAUGUGCAUUGAAGUACAGUUUGAACUUGUCUUUAUAACAUUUGGAUAAUGAGCUUUUCAAUAAAGCGUUUCACAUUCUCUA
Molecule: long non-coding RNA, 2064 nt
Organism: Oncorhynchus kisutch (coho salmon)
Lineage: Eukaryota; Metazoa; Chordata; Actinopteri; Salmoniformes; Salmonidae
Exons: 2
Source: RefSeq, a predicted model, not a curated record